GGGUUGGCACCAGCAGCGCAC
RNAcentral lists this non-coding RNA (21 nucleotides) under synthetic construct. The record is from RNAcentral.